Pieris brassicae (large cabbage white) is the source of this 527-nucleotide long non-coding RNA. RefSeq lists it as uncharacterized. Lineage: Eukaryota; Metazoa; Arthropoda; Insecta; Lepidoptera; Pieridae. The transcript has 3 exons. The record is from RefSeq and is a predicted model, not a curated record.
ACAAAAACACCCAUAAGUUGUUUAUUAAAGUGCCGCACGUUGAUUCACACGAGAAGAACUUGGUUGAAGAGAGCUGGUAAAGAUCGGCAUAAUCUUUCGGAUAUAGCGUUUAUUUUUGUGAAGAUCACUUCGAUUUGGAAAAUGACAUGGAAUACUACCAUAGGUAUAAAAUUAUGGGUUCUGUGAAAAUAAUUAAGAUGAAAACCAAUUGCAUUCCUUCAAAAUUUCAUUGUCAAAUUACAUCAACAAUGGAACCAUUAAUGAUUGUUAAAGAAGAAGUUGAAACAAAUCCUAAAGAAAACCAAAUUCAAGAAUAUGAGGUACCAAUAAUCUAUGCUGUUCAAGAUCUACCAUUCGAAGGAGUUUUUAUUAAACAAGAAAUCAUAACAGACAGAUAAAUAGAUCACUUUCAGAAGUUGGAAUAAUAAAUGACAUUUCUUGAUCUGUAGAGUUUGGCACUUGCUUGCCUAGACGAGACAAGCAAAGUGCAAUUGUACUUUCUUAUUGAAGAUCUUCGAAACUUCAUU